RNAcentral lists this ribosomal RNA (492 nucleotides) under uncultured bacterium. Its description in RNAcentral is "partial 16S ribosomal RNA". It matches the Rfam family "Bacterial small subunit ribosomal RNA", at positions 29 to 507 of the family's 1533-position model. The record is from RNAcentral.
AGUGAACGCUGGCGGUAGGCCUAACACAUGCAAGUCGAACGGCAGCACAGUAAGAGCUUGCUCUUACGGGUGGCGAGUGGCGGACGGGUGAGGAAUACAUCGGAAUCUACUUUUUCGUGGGGGAUAACGUAGGGAAACUUACGCUAAUACCGCAUACGACCUACGGGUGAAAGCAGGGGAUCUUCGGACCUUGCGCGAUUGAAUGAGCCGAUGUCGGAUUAGCUAGUUGGCGGGGUAAAGGCCCACCAAGGCGACGAUCCGUAGCUGGUCUGAGAGGAUGAUCAGCCACACUGGAACUGAGACACGGUCCAGACUCCGACGGGAGGCAGCAGUGGGGAAUAUUGGACAAUGGGCGCAAGACUGAUCCAGCCAUACCGCGUGGGUGAAGAAGGCCUUCGGGUUGUAAAGCCCUUUUGUUGGGAAAGAAAAGCAGCAGGUUAAUACCCCGCUGUUCUGACGGUACCCAAAGAAUAAGCACCGGCUAACUUCGUG